UACGAAGGGGGCUAGCGUUGCUCGGAAUUACUGGGCGUAAAGGGCGCGUAGGCGGGUCGUUUAGUUAGAGGUGAAAGCCCAGGGCUCAACCCUGGAACUGCCUUUAAUACUGGCGGCCUAGAGUAUGACAGAGGUGUGUGGAACUCCGAGUGUAGAGGUGAAAUUCGUAGAUAUCGGAAGAACACCAGUGGCGAAGGCGACACACUGGGUCAUUACUGACGCUGAGGCGCGAAAGCGUGGGGAGCAAACAGG
Molecule: ribosomal RNA, 252 nt
Filed under: uncultured bacterium
Lineage: Bacteria
Description: partial 16S ribosomal RNA
Rfam family: Bacterial small subunit ribosomal RNA
Source: RNAcentral